GCCUCUGUGGCUUAGUCGUAUAGCGCAUCCUUGGUAAGGAUGAGGUCCCGGGUUCAACUCCCGGCAGAGGCU
Molecule: transfer RNA, 72 nt
Filed under: Candidatus Woesearchaeota archaeon
Lineage: Archaea; Nanobdellati; Candidatus Woesearchaeota
Description: tRNA-Thr
Rfam family: tRNA
About the family: Transfer RNA (tRNA) molecules are approximately 80 nucleotides in length. Their secondary structure includes four short double-helical elements and three loops (D, anti-codon, and T loops).
Source: RNAcentral